UGGCUAACAGCCUUUACCCUGACUGUUAGCUUUUAGCGGCUAACAGCCUUUACCCUGACUGUUAGCUCUUAGUGGCUAACAGCCUUUACCCUGACUGUUAGCUUUUAGCGGCUAACAGCCUUUACCCUGACUGUUAGCUUUUGGCGGCUAACAGCAUCUACCCUGCCUGUUAGCUUUUAGCGGCUAACAGCAUUUACCCUGACUGUUAGCUUUUAGCGGCUAACAGCAUUUACCCUGACUGUUAACUUUUAGCGGCUAACAGCCUUUAGCAGCCUUUACCCUGACUGUUAGCUUUUAGCGGCUAACAGCCUUUAACAGCCUUUACCCUGACUGUUAGCCUUUGGUGGCUAACAGCCUUUAGCAGCCUUUACCCUGACUGUUAACCUUUAGCGGCUAACAGCCUUUACCCUGACUGUUAGCUUUUAGCGGCUAACAGCCUUUACCCUGACUGUUAGCUUUUGGUGGCUAACAGCCUUUAGCAGCCUUUACCCUGACUGUUAACCUUCAGCGGCUAACAGCCUUUAACAGCCUUUACCCUGACUGUUAGCUUUUGGUGGCUAACAGCCUUUAGCAGCCUUUACCCUGACUGUUAACCUUUAGCGGCUAACAGCCUUUACCCUGACUGUUAGCUUUUAGCGGCUAACAGCCUUUAGCAGCCUUUACCCUGACUGUUAACCUUUAGCGGCUAACAGCCUUUACCCUGACUGUUAGCUUUUAGCGGCUAACAGAACACUUGUUCUCUCCCAGAUGUCCAGCUGUCGGCUUCCUGCAGAAACAAAACUCCUGAAGUUUUGUUGACAUGAAUUAAGCUGGACCUGGUGUCUGUGUUUUUACGUGCAGUAAGCAGCUGACCAGGUUAUUUAACGAGAAACUUCGUCCGCGGCGGGGUUGUGCACGCUUGUUCAUGUCUUAAAUCCCACAUGUUUUAUUUACAUUUACAUACGUUCUCCCCACCUCGAUCAGCUGUUCAUUAAAACUGUCAGAUUAGCCUCGCAUCAGGGAACGCCGAAGCCCCAACUUCCGCUUCUUUCUCUUCCACAUUAACCACGCCCACCUCAAAUGCCCGACCAGUCACAGAAUACUUCUCGGAACCCUGUGAGAAAAAAAGUUCUGAUCAGCCGAUGUGUCGAGAACAAGCCGCUAACGGUUCCCAAACACGUCCGAGAGAGCAAAGUGGCGGCAUUUUGUUGUCGGGGGAUGGAACAGGCUGGACUCUGAACCUGGAGCUCCGACGGCAUGAAUCAUUAAGCUGAUCAACAUCACUGCUGCAUCUGAUCAUUUCUUAGUGGUUCAUUAUCGGGGUAAAUACGCUGCAGAUGAGGUUUUAAUGCUCUUUGCACCAAAUAACAGACUGAAACCAGUCAGUGGCCUUUUUACAAAUGUUCAUUUUCUGUCACCGAUGCUGUAAAUAUUCAAUAAAAAAGGGAAAUUAAUAAAAAAUGCUUCUUUUUUAAAGUUUUAUGAGGAUAUGUUAUUAAAAAUGAGUCAUCAAUAUUCAACUUCCUGUAACACAAAUAUCUAACCAGCCAAUCACGCGGCAGCAUGCAGACAUCAGAAUGUGGAAGAAAUGGGAUUUAGGUGAGAUGGAGAAGGUGCACGUGUAACGGAGUGUAGUUGAUUCCACUUGGCACUGAACAGGCAAUCAGAUUUGCCGUUUUAUUUGCAGUCUAUGUAUCGGGGACACCUACUGGUUGGCACGGCUCUCCUCAGGUUAUAAAUACUGGCUGUGACGUUGCUUCAGCACCAGUAAGAGAGGAUUGAGCCCAUGCUGUGCCGAGCGGCUGAUGAGUGUGACCGUGACCGACCAGUGUGUGUCUCAUCGCUGUUUUUGCAGACAAUAAAGUCCGUUCCAAAUACUAAGAGUGUCGGCCUUCAUCCAGAAAAAUCACAACACAACGCAGACAGUGGU
Molecule: long non-coding RNA, 1909 nt
Organism: Melanotaenia boesemani (Boeseman's rainbowfish)
Lineage: Eukaryota; Metazoa; Chordata; Actinopteri; Atheriniformes; Melanotaeniidae
Exons: 3
Source: RefSeq, a predicted model, not a curated record